GGACGAACGCUGGCGGCGUGCUUAACACAUGCAAGUCGAGCGAUGAAGUUUCCUUCGGGAAACGGAUUAGCGGCGGACGGGUGAGUAACACGUGGGUAACCUGCCUCAUAGAGGGGAAUAGCCUUCCGAAAGGAAGAUUAAUACCGCAUAAGAUUGUAAUGCCGCAUGGUAUAGCAAUUAAAGGAGCAAUCCGCUAUGAGAUGGACCCGCGUCGCAUUAGCUAGUUGGUGAGGUAACGGCUCACCAAGGCGACGAUGCGUAGCCGACCUGAGAGGGUGAUCGGCCACAUUGGGACUGAGACACGGCCCAGACUCCUACGGGAGGCAGCAGUGGGGAAUAUUGCACAAUGGGGGAAACUCUGAUGCAGCGACGCCGCGUGAGUGAAGAAGUAAUUCGUUAUGUAAAGCUCUAUCAGCAGGGACGAUAAUGACGGUACCUGAGGAGGAAGCCACGGCUAACUACGUG
Molecule: ribosomal RNA, 465 nt
Filed under: uncultured bacterium
Lineage: Bacteria
Description: bacterial SSU rRNA
Rfam family: Bacterial small subunit ribosomal RNA
Source: RNAcentral